Molecule: ribosomal RNA, 253 nt
Filed under: uncultured bacterium
Lineage: Bacteria
Description: partial 16S ribosomal RNA
Rfam family: Bacterial small subunit ribosomal RNA
Source: RNAcentral
UACAGAGGGUGCGAGCGUUAAUCGGAAUUACUGGGCGUAAAGCGCGCGUAGGCGGCUUUGCAAGUCGGGUGUGAAAUCCCCAGGCUUAACCUGGGAACUGCAUUCGAGACUGCAUUGCUAGAGUAUGGGAGAGGGAAGUGGAAUUUCCGGUGUAGCGGUGAAAUGCGUAGAUAUCUGUAGGAACACCCGUGGCGAAGGCGGCUCGCUGGACCGUUACUGACGCUGAGGAACGAAAGCUAGGGGAGCAAACAGG